AUUGAACGCUGGCGGCAUGCUUUACACAUGCAAGUCGAACGGCAGCGCGGGCUUCGGCCUGGCGGCGAGUGGCGAACGGGUGAGUAAUACAUCGGAACGUGCCCAGUAGUGGGGGAUAGCUCGGCGAAAGCCGGAUUAAUACCGCAUACGACCUGAGGGUGAAAGCGGGGGAUCUUCGGACCUCGCGCUAUUGGAGCGGCCGAUGGCAGAUUAGCUAGUUGGUGGGGUAAAGGCCUACCAAGGCGACGAUCUGUAGCUGGUCUGAGAGGACGACCAGCCACACUGGGACUGAGACACGGCCCAGACUCCUACGGGAGGCAGCAGUGGGGAAUUUUGGACAAUGGGCGAAAGCCUGAUCCAGCAAUGCCGCGUGUGUGAUGAAGGCCUUCGGGUUGUAAACCACUUUUGGCGGGAACGAAAAGGACUGUGCCAAUACCACGGUUCGAUGACGGUACCCGCAGAAUAAGCACCGGCUAACUACGUG
Molecule: ribosomal RNA, 484 nt
Filed under: uncultured bacterium
Lineage: Bacteria
Description: partial 16S ribosomal RNA
Rfam family: Bacterial small subunit ribosomal RNA
Source: RNAcentral